CUUACCUUUCAAACUUUUUGAUGGGCAUGGAGAGUUAACCACUCAGCCAUGUUCCUAGCUCUUCGAGCCGGCUGUUUCCAUCAGAAAUUUGCAGUUUGAGAGCCCAGAUUCUGCUGCAAAACAUCUUCACAGACACACCUCUUCUAUCAGUUGCUUCCAAAAUCCAUGGAAGCAUGGAUUACUACUUGCUCUGUUCGUAUAUUGCAGCAAGGAGAGAGGAGGGGAAAGCAAACGUUUGUGUGUGCUUUUGCACUGCCAGGCUGAGCUGAGUGAUGCUCUUACGCUCGUCAGUAGCUGUCCGUAGCUAGGGAAACCCCAUGGUUUCCUAGCUAUAAUUCUAAGCUUUCAACCUGUUGCUAGGGAAACCCUGGUAUUUCCUAAGCGAAGUGCUGCCUCAUUGGUGCCUGGACUCCUUCGGUUCCAAUCUGUCUGUGAAAUCAACGUAGUGGUGUGACAGAAAGUCUUCCUAUGGCUGCAGCAGGAUUGAAACCGAGCAUGAGACAAGCCGAUUCUGUGAUGCUAUUCUAGGGAGAGGGUCUUAGCAGCAGCCAUCUUUGGGGUGCCAAGUUUACCCCAUAUAGCAUCCCCAAGAAGCAAAACAGUGGAUGCCUGAAUUAUAGAGGACAAUGAUGAGCCUUGCUGAAUGCUUUCCCCUCAGAAACAGCCACAGCCACAGAUAGGGACCAAUGAAGCUUGAGAUGAGAAGGUGACUGCAGUGAAAGAGAUUGGUCCGAUGAUCCCUGUGUGGCUCUCAGUGUCGUAUUGUUGGAAGAACCCUGGGGAAGGAAUGACAGAUGGAUCCACCAUGUCCAUAGGAACAAUUAUGGAACAGACCUGCUGCCGUCUCUCCGUUUUUCCUCCCUUACCUGUCUCCACAUAAGCUUUGUUUUCUUUAUUUUCUAUUAUUCCCUCUCCUGUCUCCCCACCCCCACAUCCUAUUCUCCUUCUUGUCAUAUAUCCUUAGUGAAGUAAUAUUUCCUUAUUAUAGGCCCCGCGGAAUUCAAAUCUCUAUAUGCUUUCUAAGGCGUAUCACCCAUUGAACUCAAUGGGACUUAUUUCCAAGUAAACAUGCCAAGGGUUGUGCUGCACGUUAGGUUGCUUACAUUGAAAAUGCAGCAGAGCAAAUGCUUUCUGCCGUGUCUCCCAUCACAUUUUGAACAACCACGGUUAGCUAUACAUGUUUCAUAGAUUCUUGGGCUUUGCUGAUAUAAUAUUCUGUGGAGUGAGCCUCUGAAGCAUGUGACACUUAAGAUGUGAUUACAUUAGCACACUUUGCCUUUCUCAGAGAUGAUAAACGUGAAGUAUGAUAGAGGGGUUGGAGCCCAAUCAUACUAAUAAUACAUUCACACAACCACUUCAGCACACCCAGGUUGUCAUUCAGCACACAGAAAUGGUCAUGUGAUGGUUCAGGAAACUAUACAGAAACAGGAUUUCAGUCAGUGUCAUCAGUCAUGCUGCUUUGGGCUUUUGUAUUUUUUCUUCAAAUGAUUCCACAGAGCACAUGGGUCAGCACUCUAAAAUGUACCAAAUUCCUUCUCUGUGAUUCGUAAUGAUGCUGUGUUUGU
This is a long non-coding RNA of Lacerta agilis (Sand lizard), 1565 nucleotides long. RefSeq lists it as uncharacterized. The record is from RefSeq and is a predicted model, not a curated record. The transcript is spliced from 3 exons. Lineage: Eukaryota; Metazoa; Chordata; Lepidosauria; Squamata; Lacertidae.